UCGAACGGUAACAGGAAGAAGCUUGCUUCUUUGCUGACGAGUGGCGGACGGGUGAGUAAUGUCUGGGAAACUGCCUGAUGGAGGGGGAUAACUACUGGAAACGGUAGCUAAUACCGCAUAACGUCGCAAGACCAAAGAGGGGGACCUUCGGGCCUCUUGCCAUCGGAUGUGCCCAGAUGGGAUUAGCUAGUAGGUGGGGUAACGGCUCACCUAGGCGACGAUCCCUAGCUGGUCUGAGAGGAUGACCAGCCACACUGGAACUGAGACACGGUCCAGACUCCUACGGGAGGCAGCAGUGGGGAAUAUUGCACAAUGGGCGCAAGCCUGAUGCAGCCAUGCCGCGUGUAUGAAGAAGGCCUUCGGGUUGUAAAGUACUUUCAGCGGGGAGGAAGGGAGUAAAGUUAAUACCUUUGCUCAUUGACGUUACCCGCAGAAGAAGCACCGGCUAACUCCGUGCCAGCAGCCGCGGUAAUACGGAGGGUGCAAGCGUUAAUCGGAAUUACUGGGCGUAAAGCGCACGCAGGCGGUUUGUUAAGUCAGAUGUG
This 545-nucleotide ribosomal RNA is filed under the name Escherichia coli O157:H7. RNAcentral describes it as "bacterial SSU rRNA". It matches the Rfam family "Bacterial small subunit ribosomal RNA", at positions 62 to 596 of the family's 1533-position model. The record is from RNAcentral. Lineage: Bacteria; Pseudomonadati; Pseudomonadota; Gammaproteobacteria; Enterobacterales; Enterobacteriaceae.